This 239-nucleotide unclassified non-coding RNA is filed under the name uncultured Basidiomycota. RNAcentral's name for it is "sequence contains ITS2". Lineage: Eukaryota; Fungi; Basidiomycota. The record is from RNAcentral.
UACUCUCAACCCCUGGGGUCUUUUAAACGGACCAUCUCGGGCUUGGAUCAUGGACGCUGCCGGCCCUCUCGGGGGUGUGGCUCGUCUGAAAUACAUGAGCUGACCUGUCUGCGAACAGCACGGUUUGACUCGGCGUAAUAAAUCCAUUUUUUAAAUCCAUUUUUCGUCGGGGACACCCUUUGCGGGGUGGCCGGGGCUCGCGGUCUUCGGGUUGCUUACAAUCGAAUAGUCCCAUCUAU